GGUCAAGCUAGAAAGGGCUAACGGUGGAUACCUAGGUACACAGAGGCGAAGAAGGACGUGGUGACCGACGAUACGCUCCGGGGAGUUGGAAGCAAGCAUUGAGCCGGAGGUUUCCGAAUGGGGCAACCCCAAGUACGAUCUACUGAAUACAUAGGUAGAAACGAGCCAACCCAGUGAACUGAAACAUCUUAGUAGCGGAGGAAAAGAAAGCAAAAG
RNAcentral lists this ribosomal RNA (216 nucleotides) under unicellular cyanobacterium LLi67. RNAcentral's name for it is "partial 23S ribosomal RNA". It matches the Rfam family "Bacterial large subunit ribosomal RNA", at positions 1 to 231 of the family's 2925-position model. The record is from RNAcentral. Lineage: Bacteria; Bacillati; Cyanobacteriota.